RNAcentral lists this long non-coding RNA (1221 nucleotides) under Heterocephalus glaber (naked mole-rat). RNAcentral describes it as "lncRNA (ENSHGLG00100037770.1)". The record is from RNAcentral. Lineage: Eukaryota; Metazoa; Chordata; Mammalia; Rodentia; Bathyergidae.
GAUAACCACACCAACUACCAAGAAUCAGGAUGAACUCUGGGGAGAUGCAAUGAGGAGAAUUGCACUCCUUUCUCCUCACCUCUGUUCACUCAGGAAAACUUCUAGGUAGCUGCCCCAUCCAUGUCCCCUCUACAUUUUGUUGAACAUUCAAAUGAGCAUGGGCUGUAACUUGUGGAGAGACUGCAAGUGAGUGAUUUACCAUUCCUGUGCUCCACUCAGUGGCAUCCUCUAUAAAUUCAGCCUCCAAAUAUACUUACUGAAACCCUGCUCUAAGUGCUGAGGAGAUAAUCUGGGUCCUUACCCUUAUGUGAUCACAUGGAAAAACAGAUAUAUGACAGAAGCCAAGAGUAAAGGAUACAGAGUGAAUGAUGGAAAAGAAAGCUAUGGAAAAGAAAGCCCAGAGAGGAAUGUGGACAGAUUCAGUUAUAAAUAAGAUGAUGAAGGGUAGAAUUGUUUUUGAUUGCUGAUAUUUGACAGCAGAAAGUUUGAAGCCAGACCACUGAAAGUGUCCUGGUUCAUUUGGGGACCUAGGUUUCCAGGGAAGAAUGAGGAGAUUCCCUUGGUGGAAACUAGGAGAGUGAGAGUGCUGUAUAGUGAGAGUUAGAGGUGUAGGGAGAGUGAACAGUGUCAUUUCUUAGCAGUGGAUCCUUGUAAAGGCUUAGAUGUGUACGUCUCAUGUGAUGAAGUCCUGUAGGGUUUGAGAAAAGGAUACAUUACCACAAAGCAAUAUCACUGUCCAGAGGGAAAGUUCUAGUCCCUGUGAGGUUCCAGGGCUGCAGGCAGAGCACAUCAACAAUGAAAUCUUGAAGAGGAUACUGGGCUCUCUUCAGUAAUUCAAGGCUCCUUAAAUAUCCUGCGUUUUUUCUUUGUGUGUUCUUUGCAGUGGGAUCCAAAUUUGAAAAGGAAAAAGCCUUCCUCAUUUAUGACUAUUGUACCAUUAUAUUUGCACUAUCCUCAUAUUGAUGAGGCUGAUAAAAAUAGAAAAUUGUAAAAGGCUCUGAUAUCAAAGACAGAGGCCUCCUGUAUGAAAUCAUUUUGUCCCAUGACCUUUUCUCUUCCACCUUCCCUCCCAAGGACAGAGAAAUCUUGCACAAUCUUUUUUUCCAAAGUCUCUGUAUUUCUUUCAUUGCACCUCUUACAAUGGACAGCUAAGUCCCUGCCUUGACUCUGCUGUCACUAAGUUUGCAAUUAAAAUAGCAAGCUCAAAAAAAAAGAGAUGAG